GCUUAGCCCUAAACCUAAAUAAUUUAAUAACAAAAAUAUUUGCCAGAGAACUACUAGCCAUAGCUUAAAACUCAAAGGACUUGGCGGUACUUUAUAUCCACCUAGAGGAGCCUGUUCUAUAAUCGAUAAACCCCGUUAUACCUCACCAUCCCUUGCUAAUUCAGCCUAUAUACCGCCAUCUUCAGCAAACCCUAAAAAGGUAUUAAAGUAAGCACAAGAACAAACAUAAAAACGUUAGGUCAAGGUGUAGCCAAUGAGAUGGGAAGAAAUGGGCUACAUUUUCUUUCAAAAGAACAUUACGAAACCCUUUAUGAAACUAAAGGAUAAAGGCGGAUUUAGUAGUAAAUUAAGAAUAGAGAGCUUAAUUG
RNAcentral lists this ribosomal RNA (368 nucleotides) under Arvicanthis sp. RNAcentral describes it as "partial 12S ribosomal RNA". The stretch from base 46 to 368 matches the Rfam family "Bacterial small subunit ribosomal RNA", at positions 875 to 1364 of the family's 1533-position model. Lineage: Eukaryota; Metazoa; Chordata; Mammalia; Rodentia; Muridae. The record is from RNAcentral.